UGCCGCGCCAUCUAGUGGCGCUCCGCGCAACCACCUCUCUCUUCCCCCUCUCUCGUCUCGCCGCACGCAUCGUAGAUCGUAGUAGCCGCCAUUGUUAACCUGCCUCGCUUUACGUCGCUCCGCCGCCGCCGGAGAGUCGACGACGACGAGGACGCGGACGGGGACGACGCACGGGUGCACCGGGGUGUCGUCGAGGCUCAUUUCGUCGCUCGCUGUCGACGGCCGUGCCGUUCGCGAGUAAACCGAGUGUCGGGAACUCGAAAAUUCCGUUUCUGGUUACGCUUUCGCGCAUCGGGGCGCCCCGUCGAAGCACCUCGUCCGGAGGGUGGGAGCGAGACGUAGAAGACAGGGGGACGGAGAGGAAGGAAGGGAGAGGAGGAGGAGAGAGAGAGAGGCGCCCUGGCCGCUCGCGAAGGAUCGUCCUGUGCGCUCCCUUCUGUCACCUUCGUGCCGAGGCCGAUACGGAUCGCGCGGCGGCGUUCCGACCGAUGCCCCGUCGACGGAUUCAACCCGGUGACGGUGCGAUCGUGCUGUGCGUUCGUUGUUAGUGCAUCAUGUGAUUGCUUCCCCGGGGUACUGUCUACGCCACGGUGACGGAUACUCCGCGUACUCAAGGAUGCAGGAACAGUCAUUCCCGCGCCGAAAAGGGCUCCUCACCCCAGUGUCGGUGUUGGUGCUGCUGAUACUACCAUUGGUCGAUCUACCCUCUGCAAACGGAUCUUGCGAGUUUCCAUCAAGUUGGACGGGAGAAUGGUACCAGUAUGGAAAAUCCCCAGUCACUAUAAAUACAACCGUUCUCGGAGAUAGAGCCUGCGUCGAAAGGACGGAUGACAAAUAUGUCGUUUUCAAUAUUGCAGAUAACUGUUAUCAAUGUAUGAUUAUCAACGGACGACAUGAGAACGUCCAUCCAAUAUCGUGAAGCGUGGUGCACCUUGGAACGAAAGAAUUUGGAAGAAUUGUGCAGUGUGAUCACCUCAGAUGACAUGCUCUAUUCAAUCUUCCGCAUAAACUCCAAACCGAUAUCCUGCCCAUUUAGCGGGUCGUCGUUUACAUUCACGUAUAAUCGAGGUUACGGCGAGUGUACAAUGCCUAUAAGUCUCGCGGAGAAAUGUACAGACGAGAGUAAGCUUCUCCUCAAGUACCAGGCCUGUCCGGACGUCGAAGGGACUGAAAGUAACACCGAGGAGUUACAAUGCCUUGCGGUUUGGAACGAUGGCCGUAAUAAAUAUCUGGUAGGAACCUUAAAAGGGAGGAACGUUCAGAGCGAUCCAUACAGGUGCUUUUUGUAUGAAGAAAAGCCUCAUCAUCAGGGAAAGAUGAUUUAUUUACUUGCUCAGUCUGGCGAUCCGACUUGCAAUGGUUUAACCACGGUUUCUGAAGGUUCACCCACCAUAAAGCUUACUAAAGUCGAUAAAGAACAUGGUAGAUGUAAAUAUCCAUCUUGGGUAACUCAGCACCAUGAUUGGCACUCUCUCGACGGUACAAAGAAUUAUCACUUUACGAACAAGAAUGCUACUCUGAAAAUAAAGGCACAAGCGCAGGAUAUCAAUAGCGAGACAUUCCACGAGGAAAAAAUCGUUUGUCAUAAUGUAGAAAAGUAUCCGAACGAAAAUAUGCAGGGGAGUAAAGUGAAACUGGUCGCUCAUGUCACCAGCGGCUGCGAUAUUGGUUAUGUUUGCAUGAUAUUCCAUAAAAGAGACAGUAAUAUUAUCGAGAUACAACAAUCAGAUCAAAAAGCAAUUAUGCCAGACGAGGCGUGCUCCAUCUCCGAUCCUUCCACGAUGCCGCAUAUGACCUUAAUAAGUACGUCCUUGCAUCAGAGAAAAUGUCCUAAUCUAGGACGAUACGAGAUCCUGGAGUUUGCUCCGUCGCAUACGUUGUCAGAAGCUGUCAUGUCAAGGCGACAACGGCGUAGCGACUUAUCAAGGACUAUCAAGAGGCGAACUUGGCAGGAUAACACCGAGGACGCGGAGUGCAAGAGUACGAACAUUCAAAUAGGCUGCACUUCGUCUGAUCAAACUGAAAUGAUAAUCGCCAAUACGUGUGAACACGAAGAGAUUGCCUAUUUUUGUCACGGUAGUUGGGAAGAGAAAGGAACAUGGUACACGAUAGCUUCGCAACGGAAUUCUGAAUUCCCAGCCAGCCUAGGACAAACAUUUUGUUUUUCUAUGCGCCUUGAAGGAGUUCGAGACAGAGUUUUGGGAAGAGGCGGCAGGCAGAAGCAACAAGAACAAGAAUUAUGGCUGUCUGUGCCAUCACGAAUUUGUCAGAGAAACUCUGAGGACGAAUAUAUGUAUAGACUGUCAAAUCAAGGGGUGUGUGAAGAUUUAACAAAGGCAGCUUCUAGCGCAGCGUUUGCUCCAUCGUUGUCCCAGCCUUUGUUUACCUUAAGCAUAGCAGCUUACGUCGCUAUUAAUACGCUAUGCGUAUUACUCUGGAGAUGAUCUGCAGCUAUUAUGUAAGAACUUGAGGUACUAUAAUUUCCAGCACGACUUCUCAGGUAUUGCGUGUUUCUGGAAGUGUAUAUAGCUUACAUAUAGUUUUAGCUAUUGAACGAUCGAUGAGCUGUCAGUACGUAAGAACGAUGUGGGAAGCGUGCAGCUAAUAAUUAUUAUUGUCGUAUUAAUUUUCAUUUUGUUUUGAGACAGCAGCCUAAUUACGUAAAUUAGUAAUCACGACGUGUUCCUCGAGACUAUUUAUAUAUGUUCGCGAAUUUUAUACACAAUUAUUUUUUAUAACAUCGCCUAUCGUAAUUUAUCGCGAACUAUUCUAAACAUUGCUUUAGAAUACAGUAUUUGUUUUAAAAUGUAAAAUACGAAAUGGUACUUUAUACUUCAAACAAAUUUAUGUCGUACAUAUGCAUGGGAUGAACUAUUAUAAGCUCUGACUUUUGAGAUUACGAAAGUGUAUAAUUUACGCGACAGCCUCGAAUCACGACCACUUUUGAAUAUCUAUACCCGAAGACUCACAUGUAUAUUCUUAAGUACGGCGCUACUGUAAAUACGACCAGGAUAUAAGUAAUCGAGAUAUUUCAAUUGAGUUAUUUUCGAGUGAAAAUUUGGAUAUGCUAUGUAAUUAACAAUUUAACGGAUUGAACUCGUAUUUAAUAUAAAACAAGGGACAUAGGUUUUAUCUCUUAGCUAGUAUAUACAACAACUGUACAUAAUAUAAUUGAAAUAUUGUAUAAAGACUGUUUUUAAAAGAGUAUGACAAGUAUACCGCUCAUGAUAUUGCAUAUUGUUAUUGAAAGUGCGUGCAUUUUCAAGGACAUUCUCGAGAUCAGCCUCGCAAUCGAAGAUCCGCGUACGUGUGACGCUCGUGUUACAUUAUCGUUCAUAAGUUCGUGAAUCGGAAUAAUUCAAAAAAUAGGAAAAAGUAUUAACACAAAGUAAUUUUUUUUUUUUUUUAGAAAAAAAUUAUUUUAUCCAUUUUUACAAAAAGAAAAAUUAUUUUGUUCGUUUUCAUAAAAAUCGAUCACGCAUCAAUAUGCAAUUUAUCAAAGAUGGAACUAAAUAAAUAAAAUUCAAACUUCUAAUUCUAUCAAGACAAUUUUGUCAAAAAAUAUCAAUCUUUUAAACUUGGAUAGUAUAGAAAAAAAGAGGUACGUUCUUCUUGAACAUUUUUCUCCGAAGAUUAUCAUCUUGUAAUUCUGAAAUUAAUAGUUUUAAAGCACAGUCUUUGAAGAGUUGAAAGUAAAAAAAUCACACAUUGUCCUUGUCGCAUUCAUAAACUUAUUGAACGAUGCUGUGCAUCGUCGAAGACUUUCAACAGGCCUAACAUAUAUAUAGCCGAGUGUGGUACAUUUGCGGAUGCAUUAAAACACGUACUCGUUGCGUGCGAAUAUACAUAAUGCUUUUGCAUUUCUGGCACAGAGUUAGUGGAUGUCGGAAUAAAUCAAUCGCGAAUAUCAUUAUCUCCUAUUUAUCAUCGACGUCAUCGUACACAAUAUGUAUCAUUCAAAUUCAAAUGUAUGGCAUCUCCAAUUUUCAUUGUGUUCGAAUAUCGGCAAGUUUCGAUCCGCGCCACUAGAUUCAUAUAUCACAAUGAAAUAUUUCCUUUCGAAUACCGGGUGAUAUAUUUUCUUGACAGUUUAACAUUUGUAAUCUCUUGCAAACGUUAAGGCCCGUCUACAAUGGCAGUAUCAGUAGGUCGUAGCAGUUGUAAGCGAAAUGAACCAAAUCCAUUUCCUACGGAUUUCAUGCGUUUCUAUGGCAGUCGCGCAUACUCAAUCACGGAAAAAUUCUGCGUUCUUAAUUCUGAUUGCGCGUCCGUCGUAGAACAUACAUAGUAGUCGUAAGAAAUGAUUUGAUUCAUUUCGCUUACAACCUUACAACCUUAUGCUACUGCCAUUGUAGACGGGCCUUUACACGUCCUGUAUAAAUAUCAAUGGGUCGUUUGUAUACUUUUUUUGCAUUUUCGAAAAUUAAGAUAGUGUACAAUUACAAGUAACGAUAUACAUAUAAUCUAAUUAAUAUCUAUAUCGUAUAUUGUGAUUCUCUUUAUUAUUGUGAUUAUCUUAUAAUGUAUUUCAUUUUGCAUGGAUGAUGCAAGACUCAUUAUUAUUUUUUGAUUUUGAAAACUGGUUUAUUUUGGAACAUCUUUUUAUUUUAGCGGUAGUGUGACGGUAUCAAUAAUAAAUCAUACGUUUUUUUAUCAACAUUAGUCGAAGAAAUAAUGCGGCUAGAGCAAUAAAACUUAAAAAUACUAAUUGGUAUAGUGUUAACUGCACGAUAUCUUGAAACUUACAUUGAUUUAAGUAUUAAGCAAAAAUAAUAACAUAAUCUAUGUGAUAUUAUGAACGAGGGAGGGAAGCCAAGAAUACGGUCCAUCACGCGAAGCUCAAUAGUUUUCUAUUUUUAUCAAAUGACACUCUUACAUACACUGCCAAUUGUACUCUUACAUACACGUACACAUACACUGCCAAUUGUACAUAUAUAAGGUUUUAUUGAUCAUACGCGUAUAUAUGUACACACAGAUAUAUAUUUGCAUGUAUCAAACUACAUGUACUAACUCUAGAGGAAGUAAAGAAGCGAUAGAAAAAAAAGUACGCAGAAAAACUUGAAUAUGCGGAUACAUUCUAGUGUGAAUUUCGCCAUCCAUUAACUCUGUGACAUCCAUCACAUAUAGGCGUAAAUGUGACAGCCAAACUGAGAAACGAAACUGAACUCUAAAAAUACAUUUUUAUUGUAUAUAUCGUAUAUUUUCUAAAUAAUGGACUGUUCCGGAAUUCAGGAGAUUUGUUGAAGUAAGCGAAAGUGUAUGGAUUCGAAUUAUAUUAAAUAUUUGAGCACUUGAAUAACGAAGACAGAUUCUUAUUUUUAUACAGAUAGGAUGGACUUGUCGCGAUGUCCUAAUGUCCCCUCCACACACACGAAACUCGACACGAUUAAGCGAAAAAAAUGUAGUCAUACGAAUAGAUACUUUAUAUAAGUUUUGUAAUUACUGUAUUUAUAUCGUUAGCAACUCAUCUCUGAAAGCAGAUUCGAAAACGAUUCUCGACCGUAGACGCCUAGUUGAUUACCGUCGCAAACAUUUUUUAUUAGUUAUUAAUAUUUUCUCAGCAUAUAUAUAUUAUAUAUAUUAUAUUAAUAUUUUAUUAUAUUUUUUGUAUGACUAUUGUUUUAUACAUAUACAUAUAUAUAUCUAUAUAUACUAUUUUGAGAGACACGAGAUAUCUAAUAAUAGUGACACAGUGCAGGCCUUGUUACUUUAUGCGCGUUUGAAAAUGCGAAGCAGAAACGACAACCGAUAUGCCUUAAAUAUACAAUUUCUAAUGCCUUAUGCGAAUCACAAAAGUACGAACGGUCGGUUACUUUCACACACUGGUACGAUUUCCUUUUCACAAAAUUCGACAGGACUGAUACACACUGCGUGCGUGCGUAUAUCAACGAUAUUCAAUUAUCACACCUCCCUACACAGCGUGAACGUACGAUCCCCCCGUAUAGUCGGUACGGCUGUAUUGAAUUCCGGAAACAGAUAUUACACGAUGUAACUUUAAUACUUCUAAAGUAAGCUCUAAUUUAUAAGGUGUGGAAGUGAGUAAUUGAAGGUUGCGAGAAACCGAGGGAGAAAGAGACGCGAGAAAAAGUAAGAAAGAAAAAUGAUAAUCCACGAGUUUUGUACAUCCACAUGCGCACAGGUAUAUUUUGUUUAUUGCUGUGAUGAAUUAUGUAAUUAUAAAUAUUAGCGUGUAAGGCGGUUUUGAAAAUGCGGCUUUUCUUGCCAUUCUAAUAUAAUUGCGAGCAUUAGUCACACAUUUAUCCCCCCCAUCCGCUGUUGGAAUGUAAGCCUCUUUGGAAAAAAAAAAACCUUGCGGUUACGGGACGACGACCUAUUUAUCCUCGAUGUAUUUAAUUGUACGAUAUAUUUACGGCAUACUUGUAAAGCGCCUUGGAUAAACGGACUCGUCCAGAAGGCGAUUCGCCGCAACGACAAUUUCGUACGGGAGAAA
RNAcentral lists this small RNA (6451 nucleotides) under Camponotus floridanus (Florida carpenter ant). RNAcentral describes it as "uncharacterized LOC105253534". Lineage: Eukaryota; Metazoa; Arthropoda; Insecta; Hymenoptera; Formicidae. The record is from RNAcentral.